UGGGGAAUAUUGCACAAUGGGCGGAAGCCUGAUGCAGCGACGCCGCGUGGGGGAUGACGGCCUUCGGGUUGUAAACCUCUUUCAGUGCAGAACAAGGCUCUUUGUGGGUUGAGGGUAUGCGCAGAAGAAGCGCCGGCUAACUACGUGCCAGCAGCCGCGGUAAUACGUAGGGCGCGAGCGUUGUCCGGAUUUAUUGGGCGUAAAGAGCUCGUAGGCGGUUUGUCGCGUCUGCUGUGAAAUCCUCUGGCUUAACUGGGGGCGUGCAGUGGGUACGGGCAGACUGGAGUGCGGUAGGGGAGACUGGAAUUCCUGGUGGAGCGGUGGAAUGCGCAGAUAUCAGGAGGAACACCGGUGGAGAAGGCGGGUCUCUGGGCCGUUACUGACGCUGAGGAGCGAAAGCAGGGGGAGCGAACA
This 414-nucleotide ribosomal RNA is filed under the name uncultured bacterium. RNAcentral's name for it is "bacterial SSU rRNA". It matches the Rfam family "Bacterial small subunit ribosomal RNA", at positions 355 to 774 of the family's 1533-position model. The record is from RNAcentral.